GGAAUAAGAACACGUUGACGACGA
RNAcentral lists this non-coding RNA (24 nucleotides) under Drosophila melanogaster (fruit fly). Lineage: Eukaryota; Metazoa; Arthropoda; Insecta; Diptera; Drosophilidae. The record is from RNAcentral.